Molecule: ribosomal RNA, 269 nt
Filed under: uncultured bacterium
Lineage: Bacteria
Description: partial 16S ribosomal RNA
Rfam family: Bacterial small subunit ribosomal RNA
Source: RNAcentral
UACGUAGGGUGCAGGCGUUAAUCGGAAUUACUGGGCGUAAAGCGUGCGCAGGCGGUUUGCUAAGACAGGUGUGAAAUCCCCGGGCUUAACCUGGGAACUGCGCUUGUAACUGGCAAGCUAGAGUGUGGCAGAGGGGGGUGGAAUUCCGACGUGUAGCAGUGAAAUGCGUAGAGAUGUGGAGAACACCGAUGGCGAAGGCAGCCCCCUGGGACUAACACCUGGCGCUCAUGCACGAAAGCGUGGGGAGCAAACAGGAUUAGAAACCCCGA